UUUAAACUUCACAAAUCUACUUAUUUUUACUAUUAAUAAUCCAUUAAUAUCUUUACUGAAAAGGAUACAGCUAAAUUAAUAAGAAUAACCUACCUUUCGUAUCAGGGAAUUUUAAACAAUAUUUAAUAUCUUAAAAGCUCUCGAAACUGUAAGAUCUAAAAACCUAUAUUAGAACCGUUAUAACGUAUAAAAAUACGCUUUUAGAAGUGAAACGCUAACCGAGUACAGUAAUAUCUAGUUUUUCAUUCUUAAAGAAUAAUCUUCAACCACCGUACCUCACAAAUUAAGAUACAAAUAAGCACUAAAAUACAAAUCAAACAAAAAAGACUAAAAGUAUCUACAGUUUAAAAACUAAUUUACCCACCAAUCAACUUACUUAAAAUGAAACCCCCUUUAUAUAACAACAACCAAUGAGACUAUUAGUAAUCACAUUAACUCUUUUAAAAGGAACUACAGAUUCAAAUGACUGUUUACCAAAAACAUUUCUUUAAGGAGUAAUUUAAGUAAAACCUGCUCAAUGACAAGAAUAAAUAGCCGCAGUAUUACUGUGCUAAGGUAGCAUAAUAAUUUGCUUCUUAAUUAGGAGAUCGUAUGAAGGGUUAUACAUUAGAAUCCUGUCUCUUUUAACCAAAUAAACUUAAGUAAAAAGUAAAAACUCUUUUAACCAAAGCGGGACGACAAGACCCUGACAAACUUAACAUUUAGUUGGGGAAACAAAAUAAUAAAUAUUUAUUCAUAACCUAAACAUAACUUUAAAAUAAAAAUAAGACUAGUUACUGCAGGGAUAACAGCGUUAUUUCUUUUGAGAGCUCUUAUCUAAAAAGAAGAUUACGACCUCGAUGUUGAAUUAAUUCCGCUAUACAGGUGCAACAACCUUAUAAGGUAGUCUGUUCGACUAUUAAAAAAUUACAUGAUUUGAGUUCAGAUCGGUGUAAGCCAGAUCGGUUUCUAUCUGCUUCAAUUAAUCAAUAGUACGAAAGGACCUUGAUUAAUAAUAAAAUU
RNAcentral lists this ribosomal RNA (1002 nucleotides) under Pholcus sp. HCP-2014. RNAcentral describes it as "16S ribosomal RNA". The stretch from base 669 to 957 matches the Rfam family "Archaeal large subunit ribosomal RNA", at positions 2151 to 2715 of the family's 2987-position model. Lineage: Eukaryota; Metazoa; Arthropoda; Arachnida; Araneae; Pholcidae. The record is from RNAcentral.